GGAGGAAGUAGGGGAUCGCAAGACCUUGCGCUUUUGGAGCGGCCGAUGCCUGAUUAGCUUGUUGGUGAGGUAAAAGCUCACCAAGGCUCCGAUCAGUAGCUGGUCUGAGAGGACGACCAGCCACACUGGGACUGAGACACGGCCCAGACUCCUACGGGAGGCAGCAGUGGGGAAUUUUGGACAAUGGGGGCAACCCUGAUCCAGCCAUGCCGCGUGAGUGAAGAAGGCCUUCGGGUUGUAAAGCUCUUUCAGCCGGAACGAAACGGUCACGGUUAAUACCCGUGACUACUGACGGUACCGGAAGAAGAAGCACCGGCUAACUACGUGCCAGCAGCCGCGGUAAUACGUAGGGUGCGAGGGUUAAUCGGAAUUACUGGGCGUAAAGCGUGCGCAGGCGGUUUUGUAAGUCAGAUGUGAAAUCCCCGGGCUUAACCUGGGAACUGCGUUUGAAACUACAAAGCUAG
Molecule: ribosomal RNA, 464 nt
Filed under: uncultured bacterium
Lineage: Bacteria
Description: bacterial SSU rRNA
Rfam family: Bacterial small subunit ribosomal RNA
Source: RNAcentral